Asparagus officinalis (garden asparagus) is the source of this 968-nucleotide long non-coding RNA. RefSeq lists it as uncharacterized. NCBI's taxonomy places the organism in Eukaryota, Viridiplantae, Streptophyta, Magnoliopsida, Asparagales, Asparagaceae. The transcript is spliced from 5 exons. The record is from RefSeq and is a predicted model, not a curated record.
UUUACUUGCUUGGUAGAGAAAUUGACUGCCCGAUUUGCUAGUAUUCGUAGAUUUUCACCAUAACGUUAAUUGGGUUUUCUUUGAUGGGUGUGCUUUUGGUAUGAGUACCAAAAUUUUCUAUUAGCAUUACUAACCUUUAUGUUUCUGUUUUUAGGAAGCUGAAGAGAGUUUCUUUAAUGGGAACACUGAAACAUAUGCUGGGGUUUUCUAGCCUUGAAGUUGGGAAAUCGAUCGCCUGACCUGCUAGAGUUGGUAAAUUCUACCCCGGAUCAAUGUUUUUGGGUUGUUUUUUACAGGGUUUAUUUUUGGGUAUGUGGUAUCAAAGUACUUUAACUGGCAUUUUUCCUGUGAUUUAUGUUUCAGUUCAUAUCUUGUGAGACAGGUCAAUUGCAUGGUCUCAAUGGAGAACAGUUUUCAGGUUCUGUAUGAUCUCAUCUUGCAAGCUUGCUUGGCAUGCGGCAGCAGAUUUGAUUGCAUAUGUCCAAUUAACUCCUAGCAGGAAGCUAUCCAUCUAGGAGUUUUUGGCCAGAGAAAAUGACAGAUAUGUUUAGCAACCAAAUAACUCAUCUACAUGUGUUUCUAGAAAGGAUGGCUUUUGUUGGAGUAUCAUGACGGCCCAGAUGAUCAGAAUGUUAGCUAUACUUGGGAUGUUUUACUUGGUUAAGGAACUUGGUUGUCAGGAAUGAGGGAGGCCAUUGUUGAAACUGGUCGCGGUGUAGCGACCUAGUUCUGCUAGACUUCUCUCAUGUUUGAAAGCUUUAAUAGAGGAAGAUUUGUAAUACUAUGAGAUUGUUUGUAGAAUUGGGGGCGAUUGGGAAGAACAGUUGUGGGCUGAGUUUUAAUUUUCAUCCUUUUUCUUCCUUCGCUUUGUUUGGAGAGGGAUUGUUGUUUUUCUUCAUUUUACAACUUCAAAGUAAAACUCUUAAAAUACAAUUUGUGUAGAAGUACAUAUGGAUAUUUUUUUGGUU